RNAcentral lists this transfer RNA (70 nucleotides) under Yunnanilus jinxiensis. RNAcentral describes it as "tRNA-His". It matches the Rfam family "tRNA". Rfam says of the family: Transfer RNA (tRNA) molecules are approximately 80 nucleotides in length. Their secondary structure includes four short double-helical elements and three loops (D, anti-codon, and T loops). The record is from RNAcentral. Lineage: Eukaryota; Metazoa; Chordata; Actinopteri; Cypriniformes; Nemacheilidae.
GUAAGUAUAGUUUAAUUCAAGACAUUAGAUUGUGAUUCUAAAAAUAGAGGUUAAAAUCCCCUUACUCACC